Long non-coding RNA from Actinia tenebrosa (Australian red waratah sea anemone), 202 nucleotides. The record is from RefSeq and is a predicted model, not a curated record. Lineage: Eukaryota; Metazoa; Cnidaria; Anthozoa; Actiniaria; Actiniidae.
CUUUUCGAUCUCUUUGAAUGGCCUCCAAAUAAGAAUAGAGCAGAAAAAUAAUUAAUUUUACAAUAUACUAAUGAUCAGAGCUUUUCCUACGCUAUUUCGGCAACAGUUGAUUUGCAAAACAGUUUUUAACAGCAUAUCAACAACGUUACAGAAAAUGUCUGUACAGGCAACCAUCACAGAGAAUCUCACCAAAGAGUUCAAG